This 87-nucleotide small RNA is filed under the name Halpernia frigidisoli. RNAcentral describes it as "Flavo-1 RNA". It matches the Rfam family "Flavo-1 RNA". Lineage: Bacteria; Pseudomonadati; Bacteroidota; Flavobacteriia; Flavobacteriales; Weeksellaceae. The record is from Rfam by way of RNAcentral.
UCCUAGCCGCGAUAGAAGCGGCAUCCUUUUUCCUGAGGCCUGAGCGAAGGCAGCAGGAAAAAGAUACAGCGGAUAGCGCGCACAAUC